This 302-nucleotide ribosomal RNA is filed under the name uncultured bacterium. Its description in RNAcentral is "partial 16S ribosomal RNA". It matches the Rfam family "Bacterial small subunit ribosomal RNA", at positions 508 to 809 of the family's 1533-position model. The record is from RNAcentral.
GCAGUAGCCGCGGUAAUACGAAGGGGGCUAGCGUUGUUCGGAAUUACUGGGCGUAAAGCGCACGUAGGCGGAUAUUUAAGUCAGGGGUGAAAUCCCGCAGCUCAACUGCGGAACUGCCUUUGAUACUGGGUAUCUUGAGUAUGGAAGAGGUUAGUGGAAUUGCGAGUGUAGAGGUGAAAUUCGUAGAUAUUCGCAGGAACACCAGUGGCGAAGGCGGCUAACUGGUCCAUAACUGACGCUGAGGUGCGAAAGCGUGGGGAGCAAACAGGAUUAGAUACCCCAGUAGUCCCUGUCUCUUAUAA